Molecule: ribosomal RNA, 510 nt
Filed under: uncultured bacterium
Lineage: Bacteria
Description: partial 16S ribosomal RNA
Rfam family: Bacterial small subunit ribosomal RNA
Source: RNAcentral
GACGAACGCUGGCGGCGUGCUUAACACAUGCAAGUCGAACGAAGAGCGACGGAAGCUUGCUUCUAUCAAUCUUAGUGGCGAACGGGUGAGUAACGCGUAAUCAACCUGCCCUUCAGAGGGGGACAACAGUUGGAAACGACUGCUAAUACCGCAUACGAUCUAACCUCGGCAUCGAGGAUAGAUGAAAGGUGGCCUCUACAUGUAAGCUAUCACUGAAGGAGGGGAUUGCGUCUGAUUAGCUAGUUGGAGGGGUAACGGCCCACCAAGGCGAUGAUCAGUAGCCGGUCUGAGAGGAUGAACGGCCACAUUGGGACUGAGACACGGCCCAGACUCCUACGGGGGGCAGCAGUGGGGAAUCUUCCGCAAUGGACGAAAGUCUGACGGAGCAACGCCGCGUGAGUGAUGACGGCCUUCGGGUUGUAAAGCUCUGUUAAUCGGGACGAAAGGCCUUCUUGCGAAUAGUGAGAAGGAUUGACGGUACCGGAAUAGAAAGCCACGGCUAACUACGUG